This 151-nucleotide unclassified non-coding RNA is filed under the name plant metagenome. RNAcentral describes it as "partial contains 5.8S ribosomal RNA, internal transcribed spacer 2, and large subunit ribosomal RNA". The record is from RNAcentral.
GCCUGGAGGUGAUGAAGCAAACAUCCUAGUCCGCACUAAAGUGCCCCUUUUACCCCUUAUUGUUCAUCACAAAUGAAUGUGCUGACGAGAGAGAGUCCGAGUUUGAAUUGUUUGGUCAUGUAAUAAUGGAUGAAUGAAGGAAAUAUCCUCG